RNAcentral lists this ribosomal RNA (1307 nucleotides) under uncultured bacterium. RNAcentral's name for it is "bacterial SSU rRNA". It matches the Rfam family "Bacterial small subunit ribosomal RNA", at positions 28 to 1381 of the family's 1533-position model. The record is from RNAcentral.
AACGUACGCUGGCGGCACGCCUAACACAUGCAAGUCGAACGAAGUAGCAAUACUUAGUGGCAGACGGGUGAGUAACAUGUAGGUAUCUGCCCCUUUGGCCUGGAAUAACACGAGGAAACUUGUGCUAAUACCGGAUAAGUCUUUACGGAGAAAGCUUUAUGCACCAUUGGAUGAGCCUGCACUUGAUUAGUUUGUUGGUGGGGUAAUGGCCUACCAAGACUGUGAUCAAUAGCUGAUUUGAGAGGAUGAUCAGCCACAUUGGGACUGAGACACGGCCCAAACUCCUACGGGAGGCAGCAGUGGGGAAUCUUGCACAAUGGAGGAAACUCUGAUGCAGCGAUGCCGCGUGAGUGAAGAAGGCCCUUGGGUUGUAAAGCUCUUUCGUCGGGGAAGAAAAUGACUGUACCCGAAUAAGAAGGUCCGGCUAACUUCGUGCCAGCAGCCGCGGUAAUACGAAGGGACCUAGCGUAGUUCGGAAUUACUGGGCUUAAAGAGUUCGUAGGUGGUUGAAAAAGUUAGUGGUGAAAUCCCAGAGCUUAACUCUGGAACUGCCAUUAAAACUUUUCAGCUAGAGUAUGAUAGAGGAAAGCAGAAUUUCUAGUGUAGAGGUGAAAUUCGUAGAUAUUAGAAAGAAUACCAAUUGCGAAGGCAGCUUUCUGGAUCAUUACUGACACUGAGGAACGAAAGCAUGGGUAGCGAAGAGGAUUAGAUACCCUCGUAGUCCAUGCCGUAAACGAUGUGUGUUAGACGUUGGAAAUUUAUUUUCAGUGUCGCAGGGAAACCGAUAAACACACCGCCUGGGGAGUACGACCGCAAGGUUAAAACUCAAAUGAAUUGACGGGGACCCGCACAAGUAGUGGAGCAUGUGGUUUAAUUCGAAGAUACGCGCAGAACCUUACCAACACUUGACAUGUUCGUCGCGACUCUAAGAGAUUAGAGUUUUCGGUUCGGCCGGACGAAACACAGGUGCUGCAUGGCUGUCGUCAGCCCGUGUCGUGAGAUGUUGGGUUAAGUCCCGCAACGAGCGCAACCCUCACUUUUAGUUGCCAUCAUUAAGUUGGGCACUCUGAAAGAACUGCCAGUGAUAAGCUGGAGGAAGGUGGGGAUGACGUCAAGUCCUCAUGGCCCUUACGUGUUGGGCUACACACGUGCUACAAUGGUAUCUACAACAGGAAGCAAGACUGCGAAGUUAAGCAAAUCCCUAAAAGAUACCUCAGUUCGGAUUGCACUCUGCAACUCGAGUGCAUGAAGCUGGAAUUACUAGUAAUCGUGGAUCAGCGUGCCACGGUGAAUGCGUUCCCGGGUCU